CCUACGGGUGGCUGCAGUGGGGAAUAUUGGACAAUGGGGGGAACCCUGAUCCAGCCAUGCCGCGUGUGUGAAGAAGGCCCUCGGGUUGUAAAGCACUUUCAGUGAGGAAGAACGCCUGGUGGUUAAUACCCAUCAGGAAAGACAUCACUCACAGAAGAAGCACCGGCUAACUCCGUGCCAGCAGCCGCGGUAAUACGGAGGGUGCGAGCGUUAAUCGGAAUUACUGGGCGUAAAGCGCGCGUAGGUGGCUUGAUAAGCCGGUUGUGAAAGCCCCGGGCUCAACCUGGGAACGGCAUCCGGAACUGUCAAGCUAGAGUGCAGGAGAGGAAGGUAGAAUUCCCGGUAUAGCGGUGAAAUGCGUAGAGAUCGGGAGGAAUACCAGUGGCGAAGGCGGCCUUCUGGACUGACACUGACACUGAGGUGCGAAAGCGUGGGUAGCAAACAGGAUUAGAUACCCUGGUAGUC
RNAcentral lists this ribosomal RNA (465 nucleotides) under Vreelandella stevensii. RNAcentral's name for it is "partial 16S ribosomal RNA". It matches the Rfam family "Bacterial small subunit ribosomal RNA", at positions 338 to 795 of the family's 1533-position model. Lineage: Bacteria; Pseudomonadati; Pseudomonadota; Gammaproteobacteria; Oceanospirillales; Halomonadaceae. The record is from RNAcentral.